UACGAAGGGGGCUAGCGUUGUUCGGAAUUACUGGGCGUAAAGCGCGCGCAGGCGGUCUUCCAAGUCAGUGGUGAAAGCCCGGAGCUCAACUCCGGAACUGCCAUUGAAACUGUUGGACUUGAGUACGAGAGAGGUGAGUGGAAUUCCCAGUGUAGGAGGUGAAAUUCGUAGAUAUUGGGAAGAACACCGGUGGCGAAGGCGGCUCACUGGCUCGUAACUGACGCUCAGGCGCGACAGCGUGGGGAUCAAACAGG
RNAcentral lists this ribosomal RNA (254 nucleotides) under uncultured bacterium. RNAcentral's name for it is "partial 16S ribosomal RNA". It matches the Rfam family "Bacterial small subunit ribosomal RNA", at positions 524 to 776 of the family's 1533-position model. The record is from RNAcentral.